Molossus molossus (Pallas's mastiff bat) is the source of this 81-nucleotide small nucleolar RNA. RefSeq annotates it as small nucleolar RNA SNORD24. The record is from RefSeq and is a predicted model, not a curated record. The transcript has a single exon. Lineage: Eukaryota; Metazoa; Chordata; Mammalia; Chiroptera; Molossidae.
UGCCACAAUGAUGAGUUAUAUUUGCUACUCUCGACUGUAAGAAUGACGAGAAUUAUUACCACCAUUAUCCUAACUGAGGCA